RNAcentral lists this long non-coding RNA (1085 nucleotides) under Homo sapiens (human). RNAcentral describes it as "HSALNT0070028". The record is from RNAcentral. Lineage: Eukaryota; Metazoa; Chordata; Mammalia; Primates; Hominidae.
GUCAAUUUAGAAAGUUUAUUUUGCCAAGGUUAAGGACAUGCCCAUAACACAGCCUCAGGAGGUCCUGAUGACAUGUGCUCAAGGUGGUAGGGGUACAGCUUGGAUUUUUACAUUUUAGGGAGAUAUGAGACAUCAAUCAGUAUGUGUAACAUGUACACUGGUUUGGUCUGAAAAGGUGGUACAACUCGGUCUGGAAAGCCAGGAGGGGGCUUCCAGAUCAUAGGUAGAUAAGAGACAAACUAUUGCAUUCUUUUGAAUUUCUGAUUACCUUUUCAUCGAAUACACAAUUUAUAGUCACUUAUGCCUUAGUCUGGCUUAGUGAAACAACAGGGCAAAGGAAGCAAUCAGAUACGCAUUUGUCUCACAUGAGCAGAGGGAUGACUUUGAGUUCUGUUUGUCCUUUGUCCACAAGGAACUUCCUGGUGGGCACAUUGUGAGGAAGUAUGUAGCUUUUUUUUUUUUUUUUUUAUCUUCAUAGCUAUCUUAUUUUAGGAAUAGAAUGGGAGUCAGGUUUGCCCAGUGCAGUUCCCAUUGGCUUGACCUUUUCCUUUGGCUUAGUGAUUUGGGGGUCCUGAGAUCAAUUUCCAUUCACAGUACUCAUGACCAAAUCCAGCUUUGCAAGCAACCAUGUCUUGCAAAUAUAGGUCCUGAUUAGAACAUCAAAAUUUAUCCAAAAUAUCCUGAGAUUUAAAAAUCAGUUGCCACCUAUUAAUGACCUGAAAUAUUAAUAUACAUGUACGUUAGUAUAUAAAUCUAGUCACAAAAAUAGUCAUACACAAAUCUAAUUUCUAACUGUUACCUAAAAAGCAGGUUAGUAUAUAACAUUAUAUAUGUAAUCUGUAGAUAUAAUGUUUACAUUAAGAAAACAACUUUUGGCUGGGCUCAAUGGCUCGUAUCUAUAAUCUCAACAGUUUGGGAAGCAAGGGUUGGAGGAUCACUUGAGGCCAGGAGUUUGAGACCAGUCAGGGCAACACAGUGAGACCCAUCUCUACAAAAAUAAAAAGAAAAACAGCCGGGCUACUGGCUUGUUCUUGUAGUUCCAGCUACUCAGGAGGCUGAGGUGGGAGGAUGGCUUGACCCCAAGA